GAACUAUCUAGUAGCUGGUUCCCUCCGAAAUUUCCCUUAGGAUAGCUGCAACCGAACAGUUUUAUCAGGUAAAGCGAAUGAUUAGAGGCAUCAGGGACGGAAUGUCCUUGACCUAUUCUCAAACUUUAAAUGGGUAAGAGCCCUGGGUUGCUUAAUUGAACCUGGCGGUGGAAUGACGGUUGCUAGUGGGCCAAUCUGGGUAAGCUAGAUUGGCGAUGCGGGAUGAACCGAACGUUGAGUUAAAGUGCCAAAGUAUCCGCUAACCUAGAUCCCACAAAAGGUGUUGGUUCAUUAAGACAGCAGGACGGUGGCCAUGGAAGUCGGAA
Molecule: ribosomal RNA, 326 nt
Filed under: uncultured Stichotrichia
Lineage: Eukaryota; Ciliophora; Spirotrichea
Description: partial Eukaryotic large subunit ribosomal RNA
Rfam family: Eukaryotic large subunit ribosomal RNA
Source: RNAcentral